GACGAACGCUGGCGGCGUGCUUAACACAUGCAAGUCGAGCGGUAAGGCCCUUUCGGGGGUACACGAGCGGCGAACGGGUGAGUAACACGUGGGUGACCUGCCCUUAGCUCUGGGAUAAGCCUGGGAAACUGGGUCUAAUACCGGAUAUGACUCCAUGACGCAUGUUGUGGGGUGAAAGCCUUGUGCGGCUAGGGAUGGGGCCCGCGGCCUAUCAGCUUGUUGGUGGGGUNAUGGCCUACCAAGGCGACGACGGGUAGCCGGCCUGAGAGGGCGACCGGCCACACUGGGACUGAGACACGGCCCAGACUCCUACGGGAGGCAGCAGUGGGGAAUCUUGCGCAAUGGGCGAAAGCCUGACGCAGCGACGCCGCGUGGGGAUGAC
RNAcentral lists this ribosomal RNA (382 nucleotides) under uncultured bacterium. Its description in RNAcentral is "bacterial SSU rRNA". It matches the Rfam family "Bacterial small subunit ribosomal RNA", at positions 28 to 412 of the family's 1533-position model. The record is from RNAcentral.